RNAcentral lists this ribosomal RNA (254 nucleotides) under uncultured bacterium. RNAcentral's name for it is "partial 16S ribosomal RNA". It matches the Rfam family "Bacterial small subunit ribosomal RNA", at positions 524 to 776 of the family's 1533-position model. The record is from RNAcentral.
UACGGAGGGGGCAAGCGUUGUUCGGAAUUACUGGGCGUAAAGGGCGCGCAGGCGGCUGCUCAAGUCAGGCGUGAAAGGCCUGGGCUCAACCCGGGAAUUGCGCUUGAGACUGGGCUGGCUUGAGUGCGGGAGAGGAUGGUGGAAUUCCCAGUGUAGAGGUGAAAUUCGUAGAUAUUGGGAAGAACACCGGUGGCGAAGGCGGCUAUCUGGCCCGUAAUUGGCGCUGAGGCGCGAAAGCGUGGGGAGCAAACAGG